AGUGAACGCUGGCGGUAGGCCUAACACAUGCAAGUCGAACGGCAGCACAGUAAGAGCUUGCUCUUACGGGUGGCGAGUGGCGGACGGGUGAGGAAUACAUCGGAAUCUACUUUUUCGUGGGGGAUAACGUAGGGAAACUUACGCUAAUACCGCAUACGACCUACGGGUGAAAGCAGGGGAUCUUCGGACCUUGCGCGAUUGAAUGAGCCGAUGUCGGAUUAGCUAGUUGGCGGGGUAAAGGCCCACCAAGGCGACGAUCCGUAGCUGGCCUGAGAGGAUGAUCCGCCACACUGGCACUGAGACACGGUCCAGACUCCUACGGGAGGCAGCAGUGGGGAAUAUUGGACAAUGGGCGCAAGCCUGAUCCAGCCAUACCGCGUGGGUGAAGAAGGCCUUCGGGUUGUAAAGCCCUUUUGUUGGGAAAGAAAAGCAGCAGGUUAAUACCCCGCUGUUCUGACGGUACCCAAAGAAUAAGCACCGGCUAACUUCGUG
This 492-nucleotide ribosomal RNA is filed under the name uncultured bacterium. RNAcentral's name for it is "partial 16S ribosomal RNA". It matches the Rfam family "Bacterial small subunit ribosomal RNA", at positions 29 to 507 of the family's 1533-position model. The record is from RNAcentral.